Molecule: long non-coding RNA, 2620 nt
Organism: Pezoporus occidentalis (night parrot)
Lineage: Eukaryota; Metazoa; Chordata; Aves; Psittaciformes; Psittacidae
Exons: 5
Source: RefSeq, a predicted model, not a curated record
GAGCGCUCUUCAGCAACAGGUCUUCUGCGUGCGAGUGGAUGGGGCACGUUUACCAAUAACCCUCCCCAGGCUGGUGAAUGGUAACAUUGGUUUGAAGGCUGUCGUCCUGUCUGCUUUUCAGGUUUGCUGCCGUGUAAGACAAGAAGCCCCACACAAGUGAAUUCAGAGACUUGGUUUAACUUAAGUGAAGGUUUGAUCAACUCCAAACAGCAACCAAGGAGAAAAUAAAACAAGAAUCUCUACCAGCAGAGAAGUGCAAAGUGAGUCUGUUACACCUGCAGUCUUGAACCAUGCUUCAAGCUUUUCUUCACUUCUCUCCUACUAUUCUGCUGUGCAAGUGAUAACAGCAUGAAGAUCUUUCUGUUUUCUGGAAGACAAUUUGAGAGGAGACAACAAUCAAGCUGAAGUUAUUGCAGAAGAGAACCCCCUACAGCUCUCAUGGUGCAACUGACAGCUCGUAUGUAAGGAUCUACAUUAGAGAACUUGUGAUGAAGUCUAGCACUAGGUCUGGAAGGAAAGGAGACACCAUUUGGAAAGCACUACAGUUUUCCCUAUGUGAAGCUUCUGUGGUGAUUAAACAGGUCAGAGUGAAGACACCCACGCAAGAGAAACACAGAUGCUGCCAGAGAUAUGCUACACACAAGGGGAGCAUCAGAGCUGAAAUCACAUGGAUGAAGACUAAGAGAGGAGUCUUCAGAAGAUAGAUGAGCUGCAAAGACACAGUAUAUUCACUCACUCACAUGAGAUGUUCGUCCAUCUUCAGUUAUUUUGUUGUACUUCCAAGGCCAGACUGUGCAUGAUCAGCAGACUGGGUCGCUAAAUCUUUGAAGGUUAGUGGUGUCUUAGGCAUAAGUAAGUCUUUACAGCCACCAAGAUACAGUGUGUUAUUGUUUUACAAGCACUCUGAAAACAUUAAAUUCAAUAAUUUGCCAAAUCCAUUAGGUGUGUUAAUGAGAAGAAUCCAAGAAAAGGGAGAAAUGAUUCUGAGCUAAUGGAACUUGAUGGGUGAGGGUCCCACCAGUAUGUAACAGCAGUACGUAUUGGAAAGGAUUUUCUUUUCUUGCCCUAGAAUAGGCGUUAUAGAUCACAGAGAAAUACAAUUAUUUUAUACUAUUAAUCUCAGGAGCUGCAGGUGGUAAAAGUGGCUGAGACAGGUCUGAUUGUCUAACAAAUAAAACUAGCAUUAAAGCAAAGAUGAGAUACAGUUGUUAACCCAAAAUGAGAAAUACAUUUCUAUUCAUGAACUCCUUCUGUUAGAAGGGAAAACUGAACAGCAAAUCAAAGUGCUUUCCUGCAACCUCUUUGGACUCUGAUUGCUCACUGUGACGUUUCAGAGCCAAAACCCCAGCUAUCACAGUUUCAUCAUUCAGCUUCUCCACAAAACACAGCUAUUGUCAGACUUGCUUUUUAAAGCUACUGUAUUCCGAAAAAAACAGAGAAACCAACUUUCCUCCUCUUCCACGGCAACAAAAAAAUCUGUUUCUUCAACUGAAAUCUGAAAAAUUAAUUAGAAAUAGAGCAGAAACAGAUACCAUUUGCACCAAAACACGCUCCCAACCAAAAAUAUCAUGAAAAAGAACUGAAUUGCUAGUAAAAUACAGAUGUUCCUAAAGCUUUGCUUCUUCCAUGCGUCAGCAAGCACAACAGAGCAGAUUCCUAGAGAACCUUCUUUCCACACAAAAUCAAUGGAUUAAAAAGAAAUUACUAAGAGGUAGCAAUCUGUGGUCAAGCAGAGACGAUCCCUUGGUGCUUGUGGACGGAUAUUAGCUGGUGGUCAGAGUCUGGAACAGGAGGAGCAGCUAGGAGAUGUGCUGAGCUGGGGUUCAGACCUUUUGGAUCUCUGGCCCAUGACUAGAGUUGAGAGCAAGAGUUUAAAUGAUGCAUCUGUUAUGCCAUGCUUCUUUGGAAAAAGAGGUAUUAAAUUCAGGUUAGGCUCUCUAAUACAACAUAUAGACUAUAGAACUUCCGUGUUACAAAACUUCAAAAGCACGACAGAUUCUUUGGAUCAAAGGUUUAUUUUUAAUGACACAGCACUGGAAAACAUAAGUUACAGAUGACUUUUUGAUACAGGAUACAUUAUAUAUAUUAAAAGGAUCUGUGAAGGUAUGCUGCAUAAAUACAUAUAGUGAAAAUAUAUUGUGUUUAUUUCUUCUUAGAGAUUAGAUCUGUUUCUUUGUUUUCAAUCGAUUCAGCCAAUUAAAUAAAAAAGUAUAGAUUAGCGUCAUAACAGCUCCCCUCCACAUUAUCUCCUUGUAGCUACUGCAGCUGGAGGAGGAGACCGAGCCAUGCCUUCUCAAAGGUUUAGCAGCUUUGAACAUGAUGUUAUUCAUCAUCUCAGAAUGAAAAUUUCACAUUACAAACACAGAUACUGUAUCAUGUUUUGGCAAUGGAGCAGCUAGUUUUGUUCUGGAACAAAACCAUUUCCUGUAAUGCCAGACAGUGAAAGAGCAAUGCAUGUACUGGUGAUACUACACAGCCAAAGAACUACGAUGAAGUUGUGAAAAUGCAUAUAUAUCUAUAUGCACUUAUAUAUACACAUAUAAGUUCUUGUGUGUAUAUAUAUUAUGCAUGUCCAAAAAUAACAUUGAAAAACGUUGCAGCGGUUGAUUAUUCUUGUCAA